UAACCUUACUAUCAUCUGUUUCUCAUUUUACACAUGCAAGUCUCAGCACCCCAGUGAGAACGCCCUUUUAACCUACACCAGGAGAAGGAGCUGGCAUCAGGCACAAUCCCUGCCCAUAACACCUAGUCUCACCACACCCCCAAGGGUAAUCAGCAGUGAUAAAUCUUAAAUAUAAGCGACAGCUUGAUUUAGUUAGAGAAAAGAGGGCCGGCUAACCCGGUGCCAGCCGCCGCGGCUACACCGUGGGGCCCGAGCUGAUAGUCACCGGCGUUAAGCGUGAUUAAAGCCCUCAACAAUUAGGGUUAAAUUAAUAUUUAGUAGUGAUAAGCUUGUUAUUAAGAAAACCAUAAACGAAAGUUACCCUAAUUACACUUGAAUCCACGACAACUGGGAAAACAAACUGGGAUUAGAUA
This 413-nucleotide ribosomal RNA is filed under the name Pelophylax cf. bedriagae. RNAcentral's name for it is "partial 12S ribosomal RNA". It matches the Rfam family "Bacterial small subunit ribosomal RNA", at positions 15 to 784 of the family's 1533-position model. Lineage: Eukaryota; Metazoa; Chordata; Amphibia; Anura; Ranidae. The record is from RNAcentral.